CGCAGUCCCAGCUGCAGGCGCCAUAUGUUACAGCGGGAGGAGCUGAGCGGAUUGAUGAGUAUUUUUGUGGGAAAAGAAUCAUCUCUUUUCUAUGCCCCUUGGCCUUUUUGUCCGAUCGCCCACAUACAUGCACUCUUGGAUUGAUUGAGCGUGCAUAUGUUUUUAAUGUAGAGACAAGGAGUUAUCUGUUGAAAGGCUCCUUCUGCAGUGGCUUAUGGGACAUACAACGGGACUGGACAGGACCCAAAGGUGUAGUCUAAUACACCAAAAAUAGUAUACAUGCAGGAAACGGGCCAACCAAAGUCACCAGGAGACUAUCUCCGGUCCAUCAAACUCAAUGGGACACCAUAAAGUUCCUCCAAUGUCCUUUCAAAGUUGAACACUUCCUUUGGCACCUGCUGAAGGCUGCAGUGGGAAUAAUCCAGAACCGAUAUUAUCUCUUCUUCUCCUCGGAAACAUCUGCACGGGACGAGCCGCCCG
This is a long non-coding RNA of Hyla sarda, 480 nucleotides long. RefSeq lists it as uncharacterized. The transcript is spliced from 3 exons. NCBI's taxonomy places the organism in Eukaryota, Metazoa, Chordata, Amphibia, Anura, Hylidae. The record is from RefSeq and is a predicted model, not a curated record.